GCGCUGAUUCGACUACUGAAAUAAAAGUAUUGGUGGAAUUUUGUCUUAAUGUUGAUAGACAAAAUAUGGUCUCAGGAUCAAAUACUGCUGGGAUACUUAGGAUCUUAUGUUAUGAUUUAUUUUAUGAUGUGCCUAAGGAGGUAGCAGAGAAGAAGUGAAUGUUAUGAUGUCUCAGAGGGAUGUUGACCUCAAUUGCAAUAAGAGACUAGCAGAAUCCCUUGAUGCCGAAUUCAAAAGAUGGUCCAUUGGGAAGGAGGGGAACUUGCGCGCAUUGCUCUCAACCCUGCAAUAUAUCCUUGGUCCUGGUAGUGAUUGGCAACCAAUAUCCCUGACAGAUAUUAUAAUGUCUGAUGCUGUAAAGAAAGCUUACCGAAAAGCCACUCUCCAUGUCCAUCCAGACAAGUUGCAGCAGCAAGGGGCAAGCAUCCGGGAAAAGUACAUUUGCGAGAAGAGUUUUUCGAGAAGCUGUUACUUUUCCCCAAAUGCAUCCCAAUCCAAUAUCAAUUUAUAAUUCAAAUUCUCAAGUCUGAACAAGGAGGGGCAUUGGGUGGCAUCUGCUGAAAAGUGAAGAACUAAUUUCUCAUAUGAGUCCGUCGAGCGAAAUUUACUAGCAUUGCAGGAUGAUUGAUUCUGCUCCACUGACCAUGUAUACAAAAGCUGGAUAUAUAUUGUUAAGACUGACAAUAUAUUGGUUUGGUUAACAUUGCAGAAACGUAAAUAUUUAAUGCUCAAGCAACAUCCAAUCACUGAUAGUUCUUCAGAUAGAAUAUAACCUUCACGGCCAACUGUGAAGAAGGUGAUGAUACUAAUGCUCAGUCUCAGUUGCAGACUUCUAGAACUUCUAGAUAUCAUUGGAAUUAUCAAAAUACACGAUGAUCUGAGGGAGAUAAAAAACAGACAUGAAAACAGACAAAGGCAAGCCAAAUUUAUCAGAGAUACAUAUGUACAUCUGAUGAGUAAAAUAAUUGUCUGCUUCCGGCCUACGUAUUAUUAUUGUAUUGCAUUCUUUUUUUUAUGUAAAAUUAGUUGUAUAACAUAACCAACAUGUUUUCUGUUGUGUAUACAAUGAUUUAAUAUCAGUACUAAAUUUGAGUUUCGAGGUCUGGAUGUUGUAAUUGAUCAUUAGUUGAAUGAAACUAGCACUGAGAAAAUACAGAAUAUAGUUUCAUUGUCAAAGAAGAUAGUUUUGGGUGAGACUGUGAGACAUUGUCCUGCAUUGGUGGAAAUCUGGCAGAAAAAUGGUGUUGAUGAUUGGUGCACAGUGUAGAGAGAAAAUGGAUUUUGGGGGAUAGUUAAGACAGAAAUGAGAUGAGGGGAGGGGAGGUACUGUUAAAAGAUUUGAUUUGCCCUUCUUUGAAUAUUUUUUUUUCUUUUAUUUGAAGCCGUAUGUGAUAAUAUUCAAUUUAAGAACAAAAUGUUGAUAUGUUAUUAAUUCCAAUAAUUAAUAAUAUUCAUAUAUCAUAUAAGUUUUUUUUUUUGGGAGUUUGAUAUUUGAAAUCAUAAUUUUUAAAGAUGGAGGCAUGGCCGUUAAAAACAAAUUGUACGAAACAGUUUCUCAUUUAUAUCUAUUUUACUCAUAAUUACAUUAAUAUUUGAGUGGUUUAUAUUAAAUAAAUUUAGUUUGAGUCUAAUUUUACUAGAUAAAAUCAUGAAUAUUAGACUA
This is an RNA transcript of Daucus carota subsp. sativus, 1663 nucleotides long. It is a transcript of the gene named auxilin-related protein 1-like, with no coding region annotated. The transcript has 7 exons. The record is from RefSeq and is a predicted model, not a curated record. NCBI's taxonomy places the organism in Eukaryota, Viridiplantae, Streptophyta, Magnoliopsida, Apiales, Apiaceae.